AGCAGCCGCGGUAAUUCCAGCUCCAAUAGCGUAUAUUAAAGUUGUUGCAGUUAAAAAGCUCGUAGUUGAAUUUCGGGGUCUGUCCAUUGGUCGGGCUUCACGGUCCGUACUGGUGUGAUGGGUUCCUACCUUCUGAAUAACCAGCAUGCCAUUCAGUUGGUGCGCCGGGGAAGCAGAGCUAUUACCUUGAAAAAUUAGAGUGCUUAAAGCAGGCUAGUGCUUGAAUAGAUUAGCGUGGAAUAAUAAAAUAGGACGGCAUGGUUCUAUUUUGUUGGUUUCUAGGAUCACCGUAAUGAUUAAUAGGGAUAGUUGGGGGCAUUAGUAUUCAAUUGUCAGAGGUGAAAUUCUUGGAUUUAUUGAAGACUAACUUCUGCGAAAGCAUUUGCCAAG
Molecule: ribosomal RNA, 390 nt
Filed under: uncultured Glomeromycotina
Lineage: Eukaryota; Fungi; Glomeromycota
Description: SSU rRNA
Rfam family: Eukaryotic small subunit ribosomal RNA
Source: RNAcentral